This 1496-nucleotide small RNA is filed under the name Pongo abelii (Sumatran orangutan). RNAcentral's name for it is "processed transcript". The record is from RNAcentral. Lineage: Eukaryota; Metazoa; Chordata; Mammalia; Primates; Hominidae.
GUCACCCCCUCUGCCUGCUGCAAUACAGCAGUAUGGCUACUUACCCAUAACUCGUGGGAGGGUGGGGAGGGCACACCUGAGAGGGAAGGCCAGGCUCAGGCCUCUCCCCUGACUCACUCUGGGUCUAAUCUGUCACCAGAUGCAAUCUGGGGCUUUGGCAACAACCAGCUUUUUGUUUCGGGCCCCAAUGGCACAGCUGGCAUCUUUGCUACCUACCCCUCUGGACACUUGGAUAUGACCAAUGGCUUCUUUGACCAGUUCAUAGGCACAGCCUCCCUUAUCGUGUGUGUGCUGGCCAUUGUUGACCCCUACAACAACCCCGUCCCCCGAGGCCUGGAGGCCUUCACCGUGGGCCUGGUGGUCCUGGUCAUUGGCACCUCCAUGGGCUUCAACUCUGGCUAUGCUGUCAACCCUGCCCGGGACUUUGGCCCCCGCCUUUUUACAGCCCUUGCGGGCUGGGGCUCUGGAGUCUUCACGACCGGCCGGCAUUGGUGGUGGGUGCCCAUCGUGUCCCCACUCCUGGGCUCCGUUGCGGGUGUCUUUGUGUACCAGCUGAUGAUCGGCUGCCACCUGGAGCAGCCCCCACCCUCCACCGAGCAAGAGAAUGUGAAGCUGGCCCAUGUGAAGCACAAGGAGCAGAUCUGAGUGGGCAGGGGCCAUCUCCCCACUCCGCUGCCCUGGCCUUGAGCAUCCACUGACUGUCCAAGGGCCACUCCCAAGAAGCCCCCUUCACGAUCCACCCUUUCAGGCUAAGAAGCUCCCUAUCUACCCUCACCCCACGAGACAGCCCCUUCAGGAUUUCCACUGGACCUUGCCCAAAUAGCACCUUAGGCCACUGCCCCUAAGCUGGGAUGGAACCGGAAUUUGGGUCAAUACAUCCUUUUGUCUCCCAAGGGAAGAAAAUGGGCAGCAGGUAUGUGUGUGUGUGUAUGUGUGUGCAAGUGUGUGUGUGUGUGUGUGUGUGUGUGUGUGUGGUUUCCCAGAUAUUCAGGACAAGGGACCAGUCGGAAGGGAUUCUGGCUGUUGGGGGAGCCCAGAGACAGGGAAAGGCAGUCUGUCCAUCUGUGCAUAAGGAGAGGAAAGUUCCAGGGUGUGUAUGUUUCAGGGCUUCACAUGGAGGAGCUGCAGGUAGAUAUGUGUUUCUGUGUAUGUGUAUGUCUGCCUUUUUUUCUAAGUGGGGGCUUCUACGGGCUUUUGGGAGGUAGGGUGGAUGUGGGUAGGGCUGGGAGGAGGGGGCCACAGCUCAGGUUUGGAGCUCUGGAUGUACAUACGUAAGUAGGAGCAGUGGGACAUGUUUCUGUCAUAAUGCAGGCAUGAAGGGUGGGGUGAAGUCAGGUCAUAAGUCUCAUGUUUGCUUUUGUUUUGUUUUGUUUUUAAUGUAUGUAGCAGAUGUUACAGUCUUAGGGAUCCGAGACGGGAGACCCCACUUUAGAAAGGGUCGUCACUCCUUUAAUCCUCUACUCAACAAUGUACUCUUUUAUCUUUUAUAUUAAAAA